CUAAUUCUUCUUCUUCUUCUGGUAAAUCAAAAGGUAAUCUUUCACACUCGGCGAGAGAAGAAAUUAGAAAAAUGAUAAACCCGAUGGGUUGACGCCACAAAUUCCACCCCCAAAAACCAUAUUUUGACUGCGCUUCCACUAUAUCAACUGUACUUAAACUGUUAGAUAAUCAUAGUCGAUGAACAUCACUGUGCCCAUCGCUAUUACAGAACCGUACGUGAGAUUUUCACCUGAUACGGCUCCUCAGAGGUCACAACUAAAUCUAAGGGCCCUUUACUAUUCUUUAUCUUGAUAUGUUUGUCAGAUAGAGUCAAAAUCUAUUCUAAGGUCCCAAAUCAGAGCAAUGGAAUUUUGUCUGCUGUAUUUAAAACUAAUAAAUAAGUGCUUCUGAAUUUAUCUCAUCUUUUAAGAAUUUUAAUUUUUCUUUGUUGAUUAAUAACCUUAUCAUUAAAUAAAAAAAUGUGCUUUAUAGCAAUAUCACAUAUACAUUUCAACCUCAAAUUUUCAAUUACGAAAAAAAUUAGAGAGUACAUUAGUACAUGAAUCAUGACAAAAAAUUUAUCUCUCUGAAUAGAAAUAAAAAUUGAAUUAUAGGAAAGAAAGAAUAAAAACAAAAAAAGACAUUCCUCCUUUUUCCUUUUUCAAUUAGCUUCUUUUCUUUCUAUUUCUAUUUUUUUUAUUUCAUUCCUAUUCUCCUUUCUUAAAAAAAGGGUCUUUAACCAAAGUAAAAGAUUACUUCGUUCUUGAUAGUUAGUUACUUACUCAGUGGAUAGGAACAUACUCUGGAUCAGAAUCAUGGCGAGUACUUCUUAAUCAUUUCUACGAACGUAAAGCCCCAAUUAUAAUUCCUUUUAUGUAUAGAAAUAUCCUCUUGGAUAACUUACAUCAUCUCAAUUACUAAUCUUUUGUGUAUCUUGGUCUUCCUGACCAUCCACUCAUUUUUUGUUUCAAAAACCUCCCAUUGUGGAAAUCCAUCUAUGGUAAUAGACAGUAAAAACUCCAUAGAGUUGGUCUUUUGAACCCGCUUCAAGCUAUCAUGACAAUUCACGAAUCUUGGGGUAAACAAUCUCUCUUGCUUAUAUUUACUUUUUUCACCAUUUGAUUCUUGUACAUAGGAAAUGAGACUCAACUUUUUUACUGCAAAUUUAGAAGCCGUUUUCUUUCACUCAUAUAACUAUCUGAUUUAGUUCAUCAACUCAAAUGCUGAAGAAAAAAAAUAUAUAAUCAAUCAAAUCUUUUUAUCCUUGUUUCUAGAAAGAAAAGAAUUUGGAUAAAUUUUAGGUCUCACCGAAUCACACGUAGAGAUAUUGAUAACACACAUAGAGCUAAUGGUAUUUCAUAACUAAUUGAUUGAGCAGCUGCCCGUAGACCACCUAAAAAGGAAUAUUUAUUAUUUGAUCCAUACCCCGACAUAAGAAGUCCAACGGGAGCAAUACUUGAAAUGGCAAUCCAAAAAAAAACACCAAUACUAAGAUCGGCUAGAACAAGGUGAUCACCAAAAGGAAUUACUGAAUAACUUAGAAAGAUAGAUAUUACUGCUAUGGAUGGUCCGAUACUGAAUAAACGAGUAUCUCCUGUAGAUGGAAUAAGGUUCUCUUUCAAAAGUAGUUUUGUCCCAUCUGCUAGAGCUUGAAGAAUUCCUAACGGGCCGGCAUAUUCAGGCCCAAU
This 1668-nucleotide long non-coding RNA is filed under the name Solanum melongena (eggplant). Its description in RNAcentral is "long non-coding RNA (SMEL_LNC000220)". Lineage: Eukaryota; Viridiplantae; Streptophyta; Magnoliopsida; Solanales; Solanaceae. The record is from RNAcentral.